GGCGGACGGGUGAGUAACACGUGGGUAACCUGCCCAAGAGACUGGGAUAACACCUGGAAACAGAUGCUAAUACCGGAUAACAACACUAGACGCAUGUCUAGAGUUUGAAAGAUGGUUCUGCUAUCACUCUUGGAUGGACCUGCGGUGCAUUAGCUAGUUGGUAAGGUAACGGCUUACCAAGGCAAUGAUGCAUAGCCGAGUUGAGAGACUGAUCGGCCACAUUGGGACUGAGACACGGCCCAAACUCCUACGGGAGGCAGCAGUAGGGAAUCUUCCACAAUGGACGAAAGUCUGAUGGAGCAACGCCGCGUGAGUGAAGAAGGGUUUCGGCUCGUAAAGCUCUGUUGGUAGUGAAGAAAGAUAGAGGUAGUAACUGGCCUUUAUUUGACGGUAAUUACUUAGAAAGUCACGGCUAACUACGUGCCAGCAGCCGCGGUAAUACGUAGGUGGCAAGCGUUGUCCGGAUUUAUUGGGCGUAAAGCGAGUGCAGGCGGUUCAAUAAGUCUGAUGUGAAAGCCUUCGGCUCAACCGGAGAAUUGCAUCAGAAACUGUUGAACUUGAGUGCAGAAGAGGAGAGUGGAACUCCAUGUGUAGCGGUGGAAUGCGUAGAUAUAUGGAAGAACACCAGUGGCGAAGGCGGCUCUCUGGUCUGCAACUGACGCUGA
RNAcentral lists this ribosomal RNA (665 nucleotides) under uncultured bacterium. Its description in RNAcentral is "bacterial SSU rRNA". It matches the Rfam family "Bacterial small subunit ribosomal RNA", at positions 97 to 749 of the family's 1533-position model. The record is from RNAcentral.